CCUACGGGUGGCUGCAGUAAGGAAUAUUGGUCAAUGGACGAAAGUCUGAACCAGCCAUGCCGCGUGGAGGAUGAAGGUCCUCUGGAUUGUAAACUUCUUUUAUAUGGGACGAAAAAAGGCCUUUCUAGGCCGUCUGACGGUACCAUAUGAAUAAGCACCGGCUAACUCCGUGCCAGCAGCCGCGGUAAUACGGAGGGUGCCAGCGUUACCCGGAUUCACUGGGUUUAAAGGGUGUUGAGGUGUCAGUGGUGAAAUCUCCGAGCUUAACUUGGAAACUGCCAUUGAUACUAUUGAUCUUGAAUAUUGUGGAGGUUAGCGGAAUAUGUCAUGUAGCGGUGAAAUGCUUAGAUAUGACAUAGAACACCAAUUGCGAAGGCAGCUGGCUACACAUAUAUUGACACUGAGGCACGAAAGCGUGGGGAUCAAACAGGAUUAGAUACCCGAGUAGUC
This 450-nucleotide ribosomal RNA is filed under the name uncultured bacterium. Its description in RNAcentral is "partial 16S ribosomal RNA". It matches the Rfam family "Bacterial small subunit ribosomal RNA", at positions 338 to 795 of the family's 1533-position model. The record is from RNAcentral.